GCGGGGAAUGAGAGCCUGGCUGUAAGCAGGGCUGAGCCUCAGCUCUGCCACAUGUAGUUACAAGACCCCAGGCUUCUCACCUGAAAAGCGGGGCAAGCAGCUGCCCCGAGGGACCUAAGCAUGAGAACAGCAUCCACUGCACUGAGCAUAAUGCAAGUUCCCAUCUAUCAGUUCUCAUGGCGGGAGUCCUGACAAAACAACUGUGCAUGAAAAAGUAACGGGGAGAAACACCAGCCCAGCAGGCAGGGCGAGCAAGAGCGGAAAAGCCACAGAACACCUGUUCAGGGUAGGACAAGGAAUUGCUAGAGGACUGAGGUGUCUAUUGCAGCACAAGGCCCAGCUUGUCACAGACCAUGCAUCUCAAAACAAGGUAAGCCAACUGCUACCCAAGAGAAUACACUGUAAAAUUCUCAUUCUGCCAUGCCCACUAAGCCACAGCCCUCCCUUUUGAGUUUGAGUUAUUGCCAUAUUUCCCAAACUAACUUAUAAUUGCGUGUUUCUCCUGUUUAUGAGAAAAUAAUCUUGGCUCAGAGGUAUGUGGGUAUUGAAGGGGACCUCCUGAGCACAGACUGGUCUCUUACACACCUUCCAUUAUCCAAAGCUUUGUGUAUCAACAAGGGCUGAGCUGAAUGUCAAGUUGUGGCCCUGAAAGAUGGACCCUGAACCAAUAAGCAGAAGUCACAGGGAGCUGGGCUGGACUAGCUUUGAGGUGGGGAGCUUUCUCUCUCUAGCAGAGGCCUAAGAAGGCAGCAAGAUGAACUGCAGACUGCAGAAGAAAUCCUGCAGUUGGGUCACAGAGACAUCUCCCAUAGUUGCUGACGCUCCUUUCUACUCUGGAACAUCCUCUACCUGAUGCACAGGUUCCUCUGAGAUGGAAAGGACAUCACAUGUGUGAAGGACCAGCUUCUCAGACACUGCCACUCCUUAAUGGCAACCCCUAUUCAAACCCAUAGGUAUCCUCAACUUCAUCUGCUAUUCAGUUAGACACUUUAAGAUAGCAGGCACACCAAGCAAGACCAAAUCAUCUCUUGGCAAAUGAUACAUCAGCUUAGGACUAAGGCAAGGUUCAGGGGAGAAUUCACUAAUAGGUGUAGACCAGUCAACUAUGCAUAUUAAGUUUAAGUCAUUUCUCUAAUUUCUCCAUCUGAAAUAGGCAGAAUGGUGUGACCAUCUCCUUUUAAAGGCCAGGUUUGGGGCACAACCAGCCUAAUACUGAAACUUCAUCUUAUCUGCUCUGUCACCUUCAGAUGUCAGGGAGCCCUCUGCAACAUUAGCCUUGUUGUGCAUAUUGUCACAGAUCAUGAUGAGGCAUUCUGUCCUCUCACUGACCCCUGACAACAUCCUCAGGCCUCCAGCUCUCCAUGGUCAUUAGGCCCUCAUCCCAGAGAAAAGAAGCCAAUACUGAGGUUCUAGAGUUGACCUGGGCCCAGAACACACAUAGGUAAUGUGUCAGUGUCCAACCUGAGCAGUCUGGUUCCCCAUAAGCUUGUUACAUUCUCACCCAACAACUAUUCAUGUUUAACAUCCUUUAUACGUCACUUCCCACAGAUGGAAACAAGGUCCUCCAGAGGCAUGGCACAUCACCCUGUGGCUCUGUCUCACCUGUGGCUGAUGCAUUAUGUUGUACCCCAAACGGGAAAAUGUCAUUUGACCAGAACUUGCCAGCCUGUCCUUGCACCAAGAUUUGGGCACACUCCCCUCUCCUUCCUAGACAUGACUACAGCCCUUGUGUUCUUACAGGCACAGACUUCAUGAGCAAGCUAAAUACCACAAGCACCAGCAUCUGUAGAACCUCUAAAAUGAAAAGCCACCUCUAAGCUAAAGUAUAGUAAGUAAUUAUAGAGCCAGACGAUGCAGAUACAUAAAAAAAGGAAGGGGGAACGAGGGACUGCCUGUAGUUUUCUUUAAAAAGAAUAGCAACUGCCUAUCCCCAAAACUCUACAUGGGCCCUUCUUGAUGAAGAAACUGGGGCUCAGUCCACCUUCAGGGCUGGACCUGGAGAUGAAGACAGAGAAGAAUUCACUUCAUGUAUUCAUUCAACAGACAUUUGUCAUGAGCCAUCAUGCUGAGACCUGACUGUGCAGGAUCACCCACACUUCUCCCCAGUCCAGUGCUGAUCCACUGUGGUCACUGACAGACAGACAGACAGACAGACAGACAGACAGACAGGUUUAGGAAACAGUUGCUAUUCACCGAAUACAAGGCAGCUUUGGUGUGUGAGAUGCCUGAUCCUGGUGGUGGAACCUGGCCUCUUGGAACUUGAGCUCUCACUGAGGAAGACAGCAAUAAAUAACUGCUGUAUGAAAGGUAUCGUGCGGUGAGGAAGGAACAAGCGGUGAGCAGAGAAGGAGCAGAAGGGGGCUGGGGCAGGCAGUGAUGCAGGACCUCUCUCUGAUUACAAAGGAGGAUAAGGGGAGGGCAUCAGGUAGAAACAAGGAGGAGGAGGUCCUGAAAUGUGUCACAUUCAGGAAGAUGCAGUCAGAGCAGAGGGGCUGAUGUGGUUUGCAGCCCAGAAAAAGGCAGCACUGGAGAGAUCGAAUCAAAACACUACCAAAGCUAACUGGUGAUAUCUUGAGGCCUAUUAUCUGGCUUCACUGCAGCCCCAGGCUCCUGAAACAAAAAAGAUCGAAUAUUCUGCAAAAGACAGGCAGUGAACUGGGUGCAAUAAACAUUUAUCAAGUUCAUGGGGAUUUCCUAAGUGUGGGUCUUGGGGUGGGAGAAGGAAAAUGGCCCCAUCAGAAAAUGACCUUGAACUACUAAAGUUCACUUGUCAUUAACAAAUUGAUACAUAUUUGGCCUUCUUUUGGUUUAAACUUUAAGCUGACUUGCUAAAGUGAGCAUGGAAGUUGGCUAGCUUGAGUAAACUGUACAGAACAAAGGGGCUUUAGAGCACAGAAGGUGGGCUUCCCACCAUCUCAGACUUCCCUACAUUCCAGUUUAGCCAUGGCCUCUAACCACUCAGACCUCUGUGCAGUAAGUCAGGGAGAGCUUGUAUGGUCCCUGGCCGUGCCCACCACCCACUAUGGCUGACUGACUCAUCAGGGGGCUGAUCAGGCUCCUACAAUACUAAACCUAGCACCUGAACUCACUGCACCCCACAUAAGGGAAAGCUGUAGUCCCUGAAAGGGAAAGUCCACUCUGAUCUGCCUCCCUCUCCCUCAAAUUCCCACCCAGGACUCCUACUGCCAGUGCUACACAGUGCCGAUGCACCUUCAAGGUCCUACGUGUGCUGAGUGUGGACCUGGCCCCGGAGCAGCUCAUCCACAGUCUCAUGUCUGUCUGCAAUAGUGGGAGAGAACACUUGCUACGUCACGUCUUCCCAUCUGACCUGUGUCAGCCUGUUCCUCUCGUUAAUACUGCUGGAGCAGAAAGCAUGGACACGCCCUGACCUCCCCUCUGUGCCACCCCAGAUACAGAAGCUCUAUCCUUGCCACUCCUCACCCCCUCCUCCUGAUACAGCUUCUCACAUGCCCUCUCUUCUCUAUCCCCACAGCCUUGAAUUCUGGUCUGAUCUUUGAUCGUUAAGGUUGCCAAAACAGGAGCCUAACCUGUGCAUUCUCCUAAACCCACUACUCUCUCAAGCCUGAGGUUUAAAGAUGCAAUCCAAGUGCAAGAGGAGGCCGCUGACAGGCGAAGGAGAGGGGGACAAAGACAAUGGAUGUAUUGUUACUUAAUUCUCAGCCCAAAGGGAGGGGCAGAAUAGAGACAGGGGUGCCGGGCUGCCAGCUGACAGGUCUUGGCGUCAGCUAGGCAAACAGGAACCUGUUUGGCUAUGGGAAGGUGAUAGGUGAGUGUGAGCCAACUUUGAGAGGCAUCCAGAAUUCGAAGGAAGAAAGGGAGAGAUGGUGACCUGACUAAGACCUUCUAAGUCUUGGUUUGAAAAGAAAAGCAAGUUAACUACUAUGUGCCUGGCUGAGAUGGAGGGGAGAGAAGAGAUUUGUCAUACCCAUACUUCCAACUGCUGAAGAGGAAACAGAAAAGCCUACAGAGCCCAAAGGAGUCCCGGGAAAUGAUGGGCACCCCAAGGUGUUCUCAUUACUGCCCCCUUUCUCUGGUCCUUUCCUCUGACAGUGACUGCUGCUGUGCCAGCUCAAGGUGGGGUGCAACCAAUGAGACCAAGUCAACUAGGAGCACAGGCUGGGGCAGCCUCAGCAUCACAGGUACUAGACCUUUAAGGUUUAGAAAACAAAAACCUAUAGGUAUCUAACAACAAGAGAAAUGAAUAGAAAAAAACUGAUUGAUAUGGAAUUUUUUCAGCCAUAAAAGACAAAAUUAUGUCAAUUGCAAGGGGAUAGAUGCCACCAGAGAUAAUCAUAUUAAGCAAAUUUAUGCUUAAAAAAGUCUGAGAAAGACAAAUUUCAGUUUGCUCUCAUUUGUCCUUCCUAGAUUUCAUGGAGAUACAUAAAGUGACGUGUGUGUGUGUGUGUGUGUGUGUGUGUGUGUAUAUUGAAUGACAUGAAAGUGAGGUAAAACUGCCUAGGGGAAGAAGGAAUGAUGGGCAGGAGGGGUCAAAGGGGACAGUGGAGAGAAGUGGGGAGGGUCAUAUACUCACUUAUAUGAAA
Molecule: long non-coding RNA, 4562 nt
Organism: Mus musculus (house mouse)
Lineage: Eukaryota; Metazoa; Chordata; Mammalia; Rodentia; Muridae
Product: predicted gene, 51703
Exons: 3
Source: RefSeq, a predicted model, not a curated record